GACGAACGCUGGCGGCGUGCUUAACACAUGCAAGUCGAACGGAAAGGCCCUGCUUUUGUGGGGUGCUCGAGUGGCGAACGGGUGAGUAACACGUGAGUAACCUGCCCUUGACUUUGGGAUAACUUCAGGAAACUGGGGCUAAUACCGGAUAGGAGCUCCUGCUGCAUGGUGGGGGUUGGAAAGUUUCGGCGGUUGGGGAUGGACUCGCGGCUUAUCAGCUUGUUGGUGGGGUAGUGGCUUACCAAGGCUUUGACGGGUAGCCGGCCUGAGAGGGUGACCGGCCAACUUGGGACUGAGAUACGGCCCAGACUCCUACGGGAGGCAGCAGGGGGGAAUAUUGCACAAUGGGCGGAAGCCUGAUGCAGCAACGCCGCGUGCGGGAUGACGGCCUUCGGGUUGUAAACCGCUUUCGCCUGUGACGAAGCGUGAGUGACGGUAAUGGGUAAAGAAGCACCGGCUAACUACGUG
RNAcentral lists this ribosomal RNA (468 nucleotides) under uncultured bacterium. RNAcentral describes it as "partial 16S ribosomal RNA". It matches the Rfam family "Bacterial small subunit ribosomal RNA", at positions 28 to 507 of the family's 1533-position model. The record is from RNAcentral.